Metopolophium dirhodum (rose-grain aphid) is the source of this 1449-nucleotide long non-coding RNA. RefSeq lists it as uncharacterized. The transcript is spliced from 9 exons. The record is from RefSeq and is a predicted model, not a curated record. NCBI's taxonomy places the organism in Eukaryota, Metazoa, Arthropoda, Insecta, Hemiptera, Aphididae.
CGGGCGCGGUGGUGGCGCCCAUAGACAUUAAAGAAUGGAUAUGGAUAGGCCAUGGCUAUAAUAACAAUGAUGGAGGGAAGCGUGCCAUAAUGGGGAAGAAAGAAAGAAUAUUUUUAUCAAUGCCUCUCAUUCUGGCAGAGUUUGUUACCGUAGCCGACGUCGACGUGUUAUCACAGAACAGAUUAAGUUCAAUUAAUCAUUAUUUGGGCAUAAGAUAUCUUGUACUUUGUAGGUAUUCCGUGGCCUGGAGGGGAAGGAUUGCCCGCUAAGGGUGAAGUGUCCUCUCUUCCAAGCCGUGAUCCCGCACAAAAAAAAAAGGUAUUCUGUGGUGGUACAAACUAUUAAUUGCUAAAUAUUAUAAAUUUAUUUUGGGGUUAACUCAAUUGUUUAAGAAUAGGUAGUAGAAAGGUACAUAAUUUUUUAUGAAUAGAAUUGGCAACUCCACAAUUAACACAAUAUGAACAAUUAAGAGCAGGAUUUGUGGAAUCGGAAAUAUUUUUGUACAAUAUUUUAAUAUGACUUGGUUAACAGGUCUAUUUGCUGAUUUACUCUCAAUUCCUGAUAGAAACUGGUGCACAAACAAUGUACUGGAAAUAAGUCAUAAGAAUCUAAUGUCCAAUAUAAAUAUGCCAAACCAAGUACAUGGAUAUUUAUAGAAAUGCUUAUUACUGUAUAUACGAGUGGUAUGAUAGUUAAUGAUGCCGGUUAGCUGAUGCCGGUAUGGAAAUAAAGUAACCAAGAAAUUUUGGAACAAACCGUCCUAAUAGCUACGAGUUGAUGAUGAAGUCAAUAUUAUUGUAGAACAUCUUGAGCCAGCAGUACGCCAAAAGACGCAAGUACAUCUACACAACAAUCUGCCUAUAUCAGAACCUUUACCAAUAUAUGACCCACAAUAUUCUGGACAAGGUAUACACGUUCAACAAUCUGAAAACAGUGUUAUAAAUAAUUCUUCUAAUAAAAAUAAUGAAAUAAAAAAAUGGUGAUUUUCAAAAUCUAGUCCUAACCUUAUUAAAUAAAAUGAAGUAUGAGAUAUCUAAUUUGAGCUCAAAAAUAAACAUUCAACAAAGUACGAUUAAUGCAUUUGAUACAUUUUUAAAAAAUGCUGGACAAACAAUUGCUUCUCAAAUAUUGAACCAAAACUCUUCAAUAACAUUUAAUGACAUGUUUCCAAUAAAAACUGAAGAGGAACUAGAAAUAUUUGAAGAUAAAAUUAACGGGGAUACAAUAUUUUGAAAUACUGUGACAUCAAAACUCUCACUACUGAUUGGUAUCAAAGACAUUGGUGCUAGCACAAGGCAUUUGAUGUCCAAAAUGUUUGUAGAUGAAGUUCUUUGCCAUUAUUCACUAUUAGGAUUCAAGAAAAAACAACUUUUCGCAACUAUCUACCUACCGUUUAUUAAUUGGUAAAUGAAAAUGUGUAACCAAUAAAUUGAUACAAUUAAUAUUUAA